Molecule: ribosomal RNA, 357 nt
Filed under: Triticum aestivum (bread wheat)
Lineage: Eukaryota; Viridiplantae; Streptophyta; Magnoliopsida; Poales; Poaceae
Description: partial small subunit ribosomal RNA
Source: RNAcentral
AUGAGUUGUUUUGGAUGCAGUACAGUACCGUGUGUGGGCGUGCCAGCAACGCAGCCCACCCCAAAAUGUGAGCGACGACGGCAGCAACGCAUCCCACCCCAAAUGCGAGCGACGGCGAGGAUUUGCCAAUGCAGUGCAUGCAUGCACUUCAGCUUGUCUGUUUUGUUUGAAGAUUUUAUUACUUAUAAUGGCAGCGAUUCAUUUGUAAAAAAGUGGUGGAACUUCGAUGCAGCUCAUUCCAGAAAACUCUGUGGUUCAGUUCAAAAAUUGCGCCUCGGUUUUGUUGUUCUUGCAGUAGGGGGUAACAUCAAAAGGCAAAAAAAAGAAGUGAAAAUACAGAUGCAGUUCUCUGCCUAG